Small nuclear RNA from Dermacentor silvarum, 192 nucleotides. RefSeq annotates it as U2 spliceosomal RNA. NCBI's taxonomy places the organism in Eukaryota, Metazoa, Arthropoda, Arachnida, Ixodida, Ixodidae. The transcript has a single exon. The record is from RefSeq and is a predicted model, not a curated record.
AUGGCUUACACGCGUAUGGUGCGAACGUAGACGUGGCUAACGCAGGUCAGUGUUGUAUCUGUUCUUAUCAGCCUAAUGUCUCAUACGGGUUGUAUUUAAACCCAUGAUGUUAAACUUAAUUUUGCAAGCUGGCGGAUCCUCCGCCGCGGGUCGGCCCGGUACUGCACUAUUUUCGGCUUAGGCCCACGUUCU